Podarcis lilfordi (Lilford's wall lizard) is the source of this 92-nucleotide non-coding RNA. NCBI's taxonomy places the organism in Eukaryota, Metazoa, Chordata, Lepidosauria, Squamata, Lacertidae. The record is from the annotation of a GenBank genome assembly.
GCAAACCACUAUGUACAGCGCAUGUGCGGCGACGCAUACAUGUGCUGUACGUAAUGAUGUCGCACAUGCGCUGUACAUAGUGGUUUGCUGCU